CACUCCUGCGGGAGGCAGCAGUGGGGAAUUUUGGACAAUGGGGGCAACCCUGAUCCAGCAAUGCCGCGUGAGUGAAGAAGGCCUUCGGGUUGUAAAGCUCUUUUGUCAGGGAAGAAACGGUGGUGGCGAAUAACUACUACUAAUGACGGUACCUGAAGAAUAAGCACCGGCUAACUACGUGCCAGCAGCCGCGGUAAUACGUAGGGUGCAAGCGUUAAUCGGAAUUACUGGGCGUAAAGCGUGCGCAGGCGGUUGUGUAAGUCAGAUGUGAAAUCCCCGGGCUCAACCUGGGAAUUGCAUUUGAGACUGCACGGCUAGAGUGUGUCAGAGGGGGGUAGAAUUCCACGUGUAGCAGUGAAAUGCGUAGAUAUGUGGAGGAAUACCGAUGGCGAAGGCAGCCCCCUGGGAUAACACUGACGCUCAUGCACGAAAGCGUGGGGAGCAAGCAGGAUUAGAAACCCCUGUAGUCCC
RNAcentral lists this ribosomal RNA (471 nucleotides) under uncultured organism. RNAcentral describes it as "partial 16S ribosomal RNA". It matches the Rfam family "Bacterial small subunit ribosomal RNA", at positions 334 to 797 of the family's 1533-position model. The record is from RNAcentral.